Molecule: RNase P RNA, 427 nt
Filed under: Corynebacterium yudongzhengii
Lineage: Bacteria; Bacillati; Actinomycetota; Actinomycetes; Mycobacteriales; Corynebacteriaceae
Description: Bacterial RNase P class A
Rfam family: Bacterial RNase P class A
About the family: Ribonuclease P (RNase P) is a ubiquitous endoribonuclease, found in archaea, bacteria and eukarya as well as chloroplasts and mitochondria. Its best characterised activity is the generation of mature 5'-ends of tRNAs by cleaving the 5'-leader elements of precursor-tRNAs.
Source: Rfam by way of RNAcentral
UGAGUCGGCUAGGCGAUCGCGGCCUCCCGAACCGCCCGCCUCGCGCGGGCAGGCGGGGGUCGAGGAAAGUCCGGACUCCACCGAGGAUCGAACGGUGGUUGCUAACGGCAACCCGGGGUGACCCGAGGGAAAGUGCAACAGAAAGUAGACCGCCCGCGGGCCCAGCCCGACGGGUGAGGGUGAAAGGGUGCGGUAAGAGCGCACCGGCGGGGCAGGUGACUGUCCCGGCCAGGUAAACCCCACCGGGAGCAAGGCAUCCCGGCCCGCCUCCAGCGCGGACCGGAUCGGACGCUACGAGGGGAGAUCCGCCCCAUGUCCGAAGGUAGCUGCUCGAGGCACCCAGCAAUGGAGUGCCCAGAUGGAUGAUCGCCCCCGCGCGCCGCGAGGUGCGCGGCGACAGAAUCCGGCUUAUCGGCCGGCUCAUUCG